GAAUAUAUUGCAUGUCUGAAGCAUCAUUUACAUUCGAUGAUUUAAGUGUUCAUAGUGGACUGAGGUCAUCCUGCCUUACACAUGACGGGCUGGCACUUGACACCAUCAAUAUAGAAUAACUGUUUGGAAUUACAGCAAUAAUAAUGUGCAGACCCCCUACUGCAGCAUUAUUCACACAGUACUUUACAGGCUUAAACCACAGACGAAAGCACAGAAGAGCUUUGAGGGGAUGUACAGAAUACAGCUCUUUAUGGAGUUACAUUACUCUCCCAUUCCUCUGUGCUUCUUUAUUGUAUAUUUAUUCAAAAGUGUCCCUGCUGGGAGCUGCUCCUGCAUGCUCACUCACUGUCAAUUACAUUGCCAGAAACACAGCAGCACCUACAGCAACAUUUCUAUUGCUUUACAAUUAUUUCCUGAAGAUGACCUUGGGUCCAAGAUAUUUAUCAGACAUGUAAUAAAAUAAAAAGAGGGAAAAAAUGACACAGCAACAGUUUGCAAAGAUUUGUUUGUGAAGGUGGUGUGAUUUUAGCUUGCAAAUUACUUUGUACUUGCUAUGGUAAUAUAAAGCAUCUCUUCCUCAGAGAUCCAUGUCAACUUCUGCCUCUGUCUAAAUUAAUGCUUCCAAUUAGUCCUGUUUUAUUGUGCAUCCAUCACAGAACGUUCACUGUUUGGGCUUUGAACAGUACAAAUCCAUAUACUGAUAAUUAUGAAAAAAUACAUUUCGUAAGACACAAGUGUUCCAUAUUUAUCAGCAGUGCCUUGGGUGCUUUACAGGCUUUUUUUUUUCCUGAAAUAUUUUUAAUUUCUGCAGUCAAUUUCAUCUUUGUGUUUAGUUACUAAUUGAAGUUCAAAGGCCGUAUGGCUCUUUGCACUGGGUUCAGGCUUGGCUAACUUCAUUUUUUCAGCAUGUCCCUUGAAAAAUGCUCAAGCUACCAUGCACGUGUCCAAGGCACUAACUGAUCUUCCAAGCUACGUGGCACACACCAUGCAGGAGGAAAAAAAUAUCCAGACUUAUUCCCUGAAAUUACAUCAUAUUACCUAACUUAUCCAGUGCUGUUUCCAAAUUUUGCCUCUUUUCCUAUGUGAAAUCUUUGGCACAUGUUAAAAAUGUAUGUGGAAUAGUUUAGAAUGGACUGAAAGGAGGGUAGAAGAAUGUACCUAAGGCACAGACCAAAAUUAUGGUUUCCUAAUAAGCCUGUGGUUUUAAGAGACAUAUAACUGUCCAAAUAAUUAUUUAACAGGGCUAAAACAUUCCAGGUUUUGAGUCAGUCCAGAGGUGAUAUUUCCAGAAGAGAGGAGGAGAGGGAGUGAUGCAAGGCCUAACCCUGAACUGAAACAGAGGCAGCACUGUCUCUGCUCAUUCACUGGGGUCCUGGGAUCAGCUGGACACAAACACCCUUUCAGCUCUGGAGCAGCUGCUCUUGGCAGAGCAUGAUUAAAACAUGAUUAAAAAGA
Molecule: long non-coding RNA, 1455 nt
Filed under: Cyanistes caeruleus (blue tit)
Lineage: Eukaryota; Metazoa; Chordata; Aves; Passeriformes; Paridae
Description: lncRNA (ENSCCEG00000012537.1)
Source: RNAcentral